This 1417-nucleotide long non-coding RNA is filed under the name Vitis vinifera (wine grape). Its description in RNAcentral is "long non-coding RNA (VVIN_LNC002964)". Lineage: Eukaryota; Viridiplantae; Streptophyta; Magnoliopsida; Vitales; Vitaceae. The record is from RNAcentral.
UCUUUGUUAGGACAUGAACCUGAAGAGGAUGACUUGGAUGGAUCAUGACUUAAUAUGACAUGGUUAGCAAUGAAAUUUCCCACUCUACCCCUUGAUGUUGAUGAUGUUGUUAUUCAGCGUUAUGCUAGAGCAUAUAUCUUACAACUUAUUGAAGGAUAUUUAUUUGAAGACAAGUCUAGUUGCUUUGUGCAUCUCAUGUUUCUUCCAUUGUUAUCAGAUUUUAGGGUUGUUGGUGGGUAUAGCUAGGGUAGUGCUUACUUAGCUUGACUCUAUAGGGAGAUGUGUCAAUCAUCCCAUGUUUAGGCACGUGAUAUAGUUGGCCCACUUAUAUUAUUACAACUAUGGGCAUGGGAGAGGUUUCCAUGUAUUGCCUCUAAAAAAUUGAAGGUAUUUCCACAUGAUAUCAUUGGUGAUGAUGGUCUUCCAUUCCCACCACCUCUAUUGGGUACAUGGUAUAUACAAAAAUUGAUGUUUUCUUGUAAAAAUUUCAUUGAGAACUUCACUUACAUUUGAUCUCAACUAACAUGUUAUUACUUUAUCUUAGAUGGAAAGAUGUUUUCUCUAUCACAAAGGUAUCCACGCAUGUCUUUGGCCAAUAUAGAUUUAUCUUUGAUAUACAAAGGUCAAGUCACAUUAUAUGGAAGCUUUACACGUUUGAUAUCAUAUUAACAUUGCCAGACUAUUGGACUAUUGGUGUACUAUGUCACCACUUAUUUGUUUCCAUAUUGUUGAGUGGCAUAGGCCAAACUGAGUUCUACACCAAUUUGGUAUGAGUCGGCACAUACUAGAGUCAUGUGAUACUAGCAUUAAAUUACAUAGCAUUAACUUGCAAGGUUGACAUGAUUUUGAUAGGGGGGUUGAGCAUCAAGAGUAUAAAGAGAUAUGGAACCACCGCUGUGAUCAUGUAGUUAGUAGUGAGUUAGUAUCUGGGAUAUUUCAUAUUAUAACCCUUAUAUGCAAUGGUAUUUUUUUAUCACACAUCGAUUUAUUACUAAGUAAGGAUCCUUCCAUGAACUUGUGGUAAUUUCAAGAAUAUUACUUUUUCAUUCAUUUUCAUUUGGUUUCCCUUUAACUAACAUUUUCUACUUUGGACAUGUAGGCCAAUAGCUUGGAACGAAUAAAUGAGUUGUCAAGGCCAAAUACUCCAGCAACAACAAAGGAAAAUAUACACUCAUUGUCUUAUAAGACCUUGCAAACAGUGGAUGAGAUGAGUCAAUUACAUAUUUGUCCCCCUACCACGGUCUCACACUUAUCUUCACAACAAGGUAGGAAAGACAGGAAGAAAGGAAGGUGUAGAAGACGUAUUAUGGAGCAAGAUCAACACUCUCAGAGUCCUAUAACACCUAUUAUUGAGGAGCAGAUUCCUAUAGAAGAUCGACCAUCCACAUCAUGCCAAACACUUGUUCAACCUUAUAAC